UACGAAGGGUGCAAGCGUUACUCGGAAUUACUGGGCGUAAAGCGUGCGUAGGUGGUUCGUUAAGUCCGAUGUGAAAGCCCUGGGCUCAACCUGGGAAUGGCAUUGGAUACUGGCGGGCUAGAGUGCGGUAGAGGGUAGUGGAAUUCCCGGUGUAGCAGUGAAAUGCGUAGAGAUCGGGAGGAACAUCCGUGGCGAAGGCGACUACCUGGACCAGCACUGACACUGAGGCACGAAAGCGUGGGGAGCAAACAGGAUUAGAUACCCUGGUAGUCCACGCCCUAAACGAUGCGAACUGGAUGUUGGGCUCAACUUGGAGCUCAGUAUCGAAGCUAACGCGUUAAGUUCGCCGCCUGGGGAGUACGGUCGCAAGACUGAA
This 376-nucleotide ribosomal RNA is filed under the name uncultured bacterium. Its description in RNAcentral is "bacterial SSU rRNA". It matches the Rfam family "Bacterial small subunit ribosomal RNA", at positions 524 to 898 of the family's 1533-position model. The record is from RNAcentral.